UUGUUAUCAUUUACUUCUAAAAUUAGUACAUUAAUUACAUUUAAAUUUCAAAUUUCAAAAAUCUUGUGCAUUAUUAUUGGAAUUUAAUUAAAUACUUAAAUAUAUUAGAACUAAUUAAAUUUCAAAAACCCAUUUAUCAACCAAUACUCCAUAAUCUUUUGAUGACCAUCAUGCUAUCAAACCAGAAAAGUUUAAUUGCUCAUUCUUUAGGAGAUGGUAGAGCCAAGUGAGAUACUGGCUUACCGCUCUAAUAUUGAUCUCAACCUAUGGAAUUACUUGAUCCUAACUCUCUUAUGGUUCAACCUCCCAACCAGCUUCUACACUUAAUCCCUAGGAAACAAGGAUCCUGUAGUUCCCAAACAAAAAACCCUGAAGAAAUAGACUUCCAUUGUUACUAUAGGAUCCUUAGUGAUCUAUUUGAUUCCCUUUAUGAUGUCUACCUUCCCACCAAGAUAGCUAAGGAACUAUGGGUUAUCAUAAAAGAUGAGUACAAGAUGGAUGAUGCUAUAGUUUCACCAUAUCCAAGUUCUAUAAGUAUGCCAUUAUGGAAUUCAAAUCUAUUAGUAUCUAGAUCCACGAAUUAUUAGAUUUCCUUAGAAAACUUGAAUUGACCGGAUGAAAAUAUUUUAAGAGCUAUAAGUUUUAAGCUUUGACUAACAUCCUCCUUCGAUCCUAGUCAAAUUUCUCAUGAGAGCUAAGUUAUAGGUAAGGUUGAUUUAACCAUAAUGAAGGUUAUUAGUUUUUUUAGAAUUGAAGGAGAGUAUCGACUGAAGCUCAAGUAUAAACAAUACUCUGGAUCUAAGAUCAAACCAACUCAAACAC
RNAcentral lists this long non-coding RNA (822 nucleotides) under Phoenix dactylifera (date palm). RNAcentral's name for it is "long non-coding RNA (PDAC_LNC006876)". The record is from RNAcentral. Lineage: Eukaryota; Viridiplantae; Streptophyta; Magnoliopsida; Arecales; Arecaceae.